GGGGCAUUUCUCUCCACUGGGGCAGUAGACUUCGCCAGUCGCCCCCUGGGCCUUGAUGCUCUCUCUGGAACAAGGGAAGCAGAACUUGUGGCUGGGCACAGAGGGGCACUGAACAAAGUGGGUGUCCUCCAAGCGUUCGUGGCAAAUGGUGCAGCACAGGGGCCCACUGUUGGCCAUGGGGGAGUCCGGAAUGUUUUGGGGGUGCACUUGGUCCAUGGCGGGGUGGGUGCUGGGGGGAGGAGGGGCCACUUGCAGAUUCAUGUCCCCGUUGCGGGAGGCCAGACGGCGCUGGCCCGGCACCGAGGCCGGCGACACGGGGCUGCUGCUGUUCCUGCGGGUGGACGUGGUGGAGUGCACCGAGCUGCCGUCCUUGGGCGAGUGGGCAUUGCCCAGCGUGUCGGCCACCGACAUGAGCGCGGCCAUGGGGGACUGUCCGUUCUGGGGGGCGGACUCGGGUGGCGUGGUCCGGUUGGAGUGAGGCCCGAGGGGUGGCGGCGGCGGGGGGCCCCCGCCGUGCACCGCCCCGAAGCCCCCGGCCGACAUGGUGAGCUUGAGCGCUUCGCUCUGGCUGGCCAUCCACUGCUGCCGCUGCUGCUCGUCGCUGAGCUUCAGAGCUCCCUCGGCCGAGUCCGAGGGCUCAGGAGAGGCUUUCCUCUUGCGCAUCGCCCCGCCGCCGCCGCCGCCACCGCCACCGCCAGGUCCCCUAGAGGCGGCGGCCGUGCCCUGCGCCCCGCCGGCCCCGGCCCCCGGCCGCGGGAGACUCACCAGCGCCGUGGGCAGCAUGGGGCAGCUGGCGUCCAGGUACUUGAAGCCCGAGGAGAGGCCGCGGCCGAAGUCCUUCAUACAGUCCUGGUACAUCUGCUUGGCCACGCCGGAGGCGCUGGAGAAGACGGUGCCGGAGCCGCUGGGGUACUCGAUGAAGAGCUUCAGCUCAUAGUCCAUGCCCGGCUUGGAGACGGCGUCGAAGGCAAAGACGCGGCCCAGCAAGGCGUGAUCCUUCUUGAAGCGCACCUCGUAGGGGGUGCAGCCGGCCAGAGUGAGCAGCGUGUCCCGCACGAUCUUGGGCUUGCUGGCCCACUCCUCGGCCCGAUUCCGCAAACUCUCACUGAGUUCGGCCAGCGCCUCCGCGUUGCGCUGCUUCUCCUUCAGCUCCCGCUCUUGGUCACUGCUUGA
This 1173-nucleotide long non-coding RNA is filed under the name Parus major (Great Tit). RNAcentral describes it as "lncRNA (ENSPMJG00000016839.1)". The record is from RNAcentral. Lineage: Eukaryota; Metazoa; Chordata; Aves; Passeriformes; Paridae.